RNAcentral lists this long non-coding RNA (293 nucleotides) under Lathyrus oleraceus (garden pea). RNAcentral describes it as "Pisum sativum (pea) long non-coding RNA (PSAT_LNC041996)". The record is from RNAcentral. Lineage: Eukaryota; Viridiplantae; Streptophyta; Magnoliopsida; Fabales; Fabaceae.
GGUGGACUGGGUGAUUGACUUUGAUUAUGUUAUGUUUUUGUACUUUUGGUUUUCUCUGUGUAAUUUUUGUUUUUAUUUAUUUAUUCAGUUUUUAUUUUCUUUUGCUUUGAUGUAAUCACCUAUUAUGGGUUGGCUUAAUCUAAUGAAUUUGAUUUGGUUUACCUCCAUUUUCCUGUUUAUUUCGUUAGAUAUGUGACUAUGUCUGACUAUUGGUUUUCUUGAUCACUUACACCAAAUACUUGGGUGUCCUCUCUUUCAGUCCCCUGACUGUAGAUACUGUUGUUUAUGAUUGG